AAGUGGUGAUAAUUUGGUUUAUAUACAGAUGCAUGGAUAUGAACUUUCAGAGUAUUCUUUUAUUGAAAUAAAUUUUAACUUGAAAGUAUUUAGUGUAAUGCUUUUUAGUUUCUUGAUAUUUCUAACAGUUUUGAUAUUUUUCCUUUUUGUUAAUGAUGACAUUGGGCCUUGGUGAACUUUGAUCCCUAUCCAGGUCCUACAGGUUUUCAAGGUCUACCAGGUCCAGAAGGUCCUCCGGGUCUCCCUGGAAAUGGAGGUAUUAAAGGAGAGAAGGGAAAUCCAGGCCAACCUGGGCUACCUGGCUUGCCUGGUUUGAAAGGAGAUCAAGGACCACCAGGACUCCAGGGUAAUCCUGGCCGGCCGGGUCUCAAUGGAAUGAAAGGAGAUCCUGGUCUCCCUGGUGUUCCAGGAUUCCCAGGCAUGAAAGGACCCAGUGGAGUACCUGGAUCAGCUGGCCCUGAGGGGGAACCGGGACUUAUUGGUCCUCCAGGUCCUCCUGGAUUACCUGGUCCUUCAGGACAGAGUAUCAUAAUUAAAGGAGAUGCUGGUCCUCCAGGAAUCCCUGGCCAGCCUGGGCUAAAAGGUCUACCAGGACCCCAAGGACCUCAAGGCUUACCAGGUCCAACUGGCCCUCCAGGAGAUCCUGGACGCAAUGGACUCCCUGGCUUUGAUGGUGCAGGAGGGCGCAAAGGAGACCCAGGUCUGCCAGGACAGCCAGGUACCCGUGGUUUGGAUGG
RNAcentral lists this small RNA (737 nucleotides) under Pan troglodytes (chimpanzee). Its description in RNAcentral is "retained intron". Lineage: Eukaryota; Metazoa; Chordata; Mammalia; Primates; Hominidae. The record is from RNAcentral.